GACAACUUGGACACGCACAUGUGUGGGGAAAUGGCCUGUCCCACCAGCCUGAAUGCUCUUCAGCAAGGAAACAAGGAUGCAGCACAGCAACCAAAAGCCCAUGAGACCACGGAAAGCAAUCAUGGCUCUGAUUUCAGAAACUCAAUUAAUGCUCAGCCAUAACAGGACUGUACACUUAAGGGUUAGGAAGAGGCUGUAGCUCCAAGGAAGAUUCUAGCUUUAUGUCUUUGCACCUCUUCACAUUAGCAGGGAAAUACAAGGUGUCUCCGGAACAAGAUAAGGAAAGAUUUCCUCCAGUCAUCUCUUCAGAGGCUAAAAUAAGCCACUCAAAACAUACUCAGCUGGCCUGAGCCCAGGAACAGACCUUACUGUGCAAACUGGAUGAGGUAUUCAGGCACGUGAGUUCUGCUGCCCGCUGAUCCCAUUGCUGACAUUUACCUGCCACCCUGGGGAGCAGGGAGGAAGUUUGAGACAAUUUAUAACACUGGACAAGCAGGAGCACAAGACAAGGCAGUACAAGCUCCUUAAAAACAAUAGCAGUAUCUACAAUCAGGCUCUUUGGAGUCAGACCUCUUUGUCAGCUGCCUGUAUUUUCACAGAGCCACUGAAAGCAAGUGUUUCUUGAAGCAGCCAACAACCACACCAUGAAACCAAGUGAGUGCUUUUUAAAUAUCUUGGAAGCAGACUGCACGCCUGUGGUUCAGGGAAGAAGGCAGUCACAGUGAGGCCAUGUCAGAAGUAAGAACCGGCUAUAGCCAAAUCUCAUUCGCUGCACCCAGGGAACAAUCACCUUGGCAGGAAGGAUAAGGAAGCCUGAAGAGCUGUGCUCAUCAGGAGCACAAAAACCAUGCCACAUUUCCCUUCAGCCUGGCAGCAGUUUUUCAACUGAUGAUUUCUGGGAACAUGCCGCAACACCCUUCUGUAAAGCGGUUCAAGUGUUCAAACCCUCAUACUUGAGCCAGGGGGUCAAAGACGCAUCCAAAUUCAUGCAAGCUCCCCAUGUCCAAAUAUUGCCACCACCAAUUUUCUUUCCGGACUUCAGGACUAAAACACGCCAAUGCCCUGGACCAGGACUUCACUGGAUGUAAAAGAGCAUGUCUUCAAAGCCAAGAAAAUUAGCUUUACCUAAGCAUUAGCUAGCAGCCUAGCCCACCAUGACUUUCAUGACUUCAUCCAUUGAAGGGCUGAAUUUUUGUUUCUACUUGCAGUGCUCCACACAUGUACCUGUAAGCACAGAACAGCACUGGCUAGGCAUUGUAACAGGACCUCACUGACUGAACGCCACGUGUUCCCUGCACCUGUACAGGUCAGCCUCAGCACAGAAGAAAAAGUCCAUCAUUCUGUCUGGACUGUUUUCUCUCAAGUAAUGGAAGUGGUAUCAUACUGAACAGUCUGGCAACAAACCAAGGUGACACCGUAACUGCUAAGAGCUUGGAGAAAGUAUUAAAUAUGAAAUAGAAAGGAAAUAUUCGGUCAGAUCCAAUUAUCCUGACGAGCCUGAGAGGUAAAUUAUUGAAGUUCUUGGCAUAUGCACUGGUACAUAGACUAUCCUGAACCAACAACCACCUCAGGAAAAGAUAUGGCUGCAUCUCUUAGUAUCUUUAGGCUGAUCCUCUGCAAGGGAGCAGUUUCACCUUGUGCCUCAUGCUCAAGUGGAUUGAAGUUUCCUCAUGCCUUUCUUUCAGCUCCUCCACCUCUUGUGUAAGAGACCAGAGUACAGAGCCUGCCCCUCCAAGGGUUAAGAGAUGUCUCAGAACAAGGCAAGCUGAGCAUUUGCUUUUAAUUCUGUCCCUUCCUCUGCUCCCAGCCUCAGUUUUUCACUUUGCCUUUUAAGCUUGCACAUGCCAUGUGAGCUUGUGGGAUAACUGACCAGCCUGAGACUAAGAAAGCCUUUUUGCUUUGAAACCAGCAAAACUAGUUCAGGAAUUGCAACUACAUGUAGUCAAGCCUGCCCUGUAAUUAGCUUUAAAUAAAGGUCCCCUCGACAGGAAACUAAAUACCCAGACUGUUUAACAAUGACUAGCACAGCGGACAGGGCUUUUACUCCUUUGCUUCCAACACAGCAGCAGCUUUUCUGCAAAGCACAAUCCAAGCAGCACAGUAAAGCACUACAACAACAACCAUUUACAAAAGGCUCUUAUUUGGGCUCUCAGAGAGGACAUUUAAGUGUGGCAUGAUGCCUUUCCUCACAAAUCAGUUGUUCCCAGGUGGAAGACUGCAUUCAUUCCCUGCAGCCACAACCACAAACCCAAGAAAGCCAUUAGUGACCCAGCCACAUGACAAAGCCUGGGGCACCCACAGACCCUACACAGAAGAGACAGCCUUCCAAAUGGAUCAAGGGGCCAGAGGUUGCUGCUGCUGGCUGGGGGCUGCUCUGCCUGGCUCCCCAGAACAAAGCACAGCGAUGAAGUGGGCUGAGCACACGGUUCCCAUGUACGGUGGGCAGUACACGGCUGCCCCUGCCUCUGAGGAAGGCAUCCAGUAACCAUCAUGCCUGAAUGUCAAGCGCCAGCUCCACUUCCACCAGGGCUUACCAAAGAAGAAUAAAGCCUACUCCAGCUUCCCAUGACCUUCGCUGUAAGAUGAACUGAUUCAAUUAGCCAUUUUCCCUGAUUUACCACUUUUAAGAAUCAUUUAAAUGGGUGGGAAGACUUCAUUUGUUCAAAAAGCUUUUUGAACUUGGUUUCAAAGGUUACACGACCCAAGGAUACUAAAAAGGCCUCAAGAGGCAGACUGUCAUUUCAGUGUGUGCAAAAUAUUUAGCUGAAGGUAAUACAGCUUCCCCCUGCACUGAUGUUUUUAAUCUGGUUUGCUCCCCUUCAUCCACUGGUUAGUGAUGAAAACACCGAGUCCCUCAUGUCUUCGAUACAGUGUAUUGAGCUUUACAGAGGCACCUGUGCCACCUCAUUCCUUGAAAAAGAUUUCUAGGUUUCAUUUAGCUCUGCUUUACAACCUGAGAAGACCUUUUGAGCUACAGCUGACUUGCUGCCUGCAACAGUCCUUGUUCCAGCAUAGAGCUGAAAAUUAAGGUCUCUAGUUGUAUACUACAAAGAAAAAUAGCAAGGUCAAACCAUCCAAUUUUGUCUUACUUUACACUUGGAAAAAUGUUACCUAAGCACUUCUAAAACCUGAUGGUCUCAGCUAAACAAACCGAUGCUUGACCUGAAAUUGCUGCAAAGUGAAUGCCUGCUCAGUGCCCUUUGCAAGCCAGACUGCUCUGAGAAGUAAAAUUCAAAUGUGCUGAAAAGUUAUGAGCAAAAUUACAGCAACUGGGACCUUGCACCAAUUUGGCUGUUACUGUCUAUAAAUAACCUGGUUGUUGAUCCUGGCCCCUUGUUCUAGGAAAAGCAUCCCAUGAUUAGGAUUUCAGUGCUGUGAGAAGGAUGGGAGAGAGCGAAACAGAUGGAGCUGAAGACUUGGUGAGACUGAAUUUUAAUUUGCAAGCAGGAUUACAAUUCAAAGGGCCCUCAAUUUCUUCCCUUCCUCCUAGAUACCACCAAGUUUACAAGUAUUUCAAAAACGCUAACAGCACUGCAGCUGACAGGUAUGUACCCAGUGAUUGUUACAGAGUAAUACCACCCAGCUGUGAAGUAGUUGUAUUCUACUCUUUUUACUUCUCAGCUAUUGAAAUCUUCUGGCUGUGUAGAUGGGCAAAUAAAGUACACCUGGAAG
Anas platyrhynchos (mallard) is the source of this 3672-nucleotide long non-coding RNA. RefSeq lists it as uncharacterized. Lineage: Eukaryota; Metazoa; Chordata; Aves; Anseriformes; Anatidae. The record is from RefSeq and is a predicted model, not a curated record.